UUAAAUUGAAGAGUUUGAUCAUGGCUCAGAUUGAACGCUGGCGGCAGGCCUAACACAUGCAAGUCGAACGGUAACAGGAAGCAGCUUGCUGCUUUUCGCUGACGAGUGGCGGACGGGUGAGUAAUGUCUGGGAAACUGCCUGAUGGAGGGGGAUAACUACUGGAAACGGUAGCUAAUACCGCAUAACGUCGCAAGACCAAAGAGGGGGACCUUCGGGCCUCUUGCCAUCGGAUGUGCCCAGAUGGGAUUAGCUUGUUGGUGGGGUAACGGCUCACCAAGGCGACGAUCCCUAGCUGGUCUGAGAGGAUGACCAGCCACACUGGAACUGAGACACGGUCCAGACUCCUACGGGAGGCAGCAGUGGGGAAUAUUGCACAAUGGGCGCAAGCCUGAUGCAGCCAUGCCGCGUGUAUGAAGAAGGCCUUCGGGUUGUAAAGUACUUUCAGCGGGGAGGAAGGGAGUAAAGUUAAUACCUUUGCUCAUUGACGUUACCCGCAGAAGAAGCACCGGCUAACUCCGUGCCAGCAGCCGCGGUAAUACGGAGGGUGCAAGCGUUAAUCGGAAUUACUGGGCGUAAAGCGCACGCAGGCGGUUUGUUAAGUCAGAUGUGAAAUCCCCGGGCUCAACCUGGGAACUGCAUCUGAUACUGGCAAGCUUGAGUCUCGUAGAGGGGGGUAGAAUUCCAGGUGUAGCGGUGAAAUGCGUAGAGAUCUGGAGGAAUACCGGUGGCGAAGGCGGCCCCCUGGACGAAGACUGACGCUCAGGUGCGAAAGCGUGGGGAGCAAACAGGAUUAGAUACCCUGGUAGUCCACGCCGUAAACGAUGUCGACUUGGAGGUUGUGCCCUUGAGGCGUGGCUUCCGGAGCUAACGCGUUAAGUCGACCGCCUGGGGAGUACGGCCGCAAGGUUAAAACUCAAAUGAAUUGACGGGGGCCCGCACAAGCGGUGGAGCAUGUGGUUUAAUUCGAUGCAACGCGAAGAACCUUACCUGGUCUUGACAUCCACGGAAGUUUUCAGAGAUGAGAAUGUGCCUUCGGGAACCGUGAGACAGGUGCUGCAUGGCUGUCGUCAGCUCGUGUUGUGAAAUGUUGGGUUAAGUCCCGCAACGAGCGCAACCCUUAUCCUUUGUUGCCAGCGGUCCGGCCGGGAACUCAAAGGAGACUGCCAGUGAUAAACUGGAGGAAGGUGGGGAUGACGUCAAGUCAUCAUGGCCCUUACGACCAGGGCUACACACGUGCUACAAUGGCGCAUACAAAGAGAAGCGACCUCGCGAGAGCAAGCGGACCUCAUAAAGUGCGUCGUAGUCCGGAUUGGAGUCUGCAACUCGACUCCAUGAAGUCGGAAUCGCUAGUAAUCGUGGAUCAGAAUGCCACGGUGAAUACGUUCCCGGGCCUUGUACACACCGCCCGUCACACCAUGGGAGUGGGUUGCAAAAGAAGUAGGUAGCUUAACCUUCGGGAGGGCGCUUACCACUUUGUGAUUCAUGACUGGGGUGAAGUCGUAACAAGGUAACCGUAGGGGAACCUGCGGUUGGAUCACCUCCUUACCUUAAAGAAGC
RNAcentral lists this ribosomal RNA (1558 nucleotides) under Escherichia coli. RNAcentral describes it as "bacterial SSU rRNA". It matches the Rfam family "Bacterial small subunit ribosomal RNA". The record is from RNAcentral. Lineage: Bacteria; Pseudomonadati; Pseudomonadota; Gammaproteobacteria; Enterobacterales; Enterobacteriaceae.